GACGAACGCUGGCGGCGUGCUUAACACAUGCAAGUCGAACGGCAAGGCCCUGCUUUUGUUGGGUGCUCGAGUGGCGAACGGGUGUGUUACACGUGAGUAACCUGCCCUUGACUUUGGGAUAACUUCAGGAAACUGGGGCUAAUACCGGAUAGGAGCUCCUGCUGCAUGGUGGGGGUAGGACCUUUGCGGCGGGUUGGGAUGGACUCGCGGCUUAUGAGCUUGUUGGUGGGGUAGUGGCUUACCAAGGCUUUGACGGAUAGGCGGCCUGGGAGGUUGACCGGGGACAAUGGUACUGCGGUACGGAGCAGACGCCAACGUUAGGCAGCAGGGGGGAAUAUGACACAGUGAUGGGAAGCGUGAUACGACGACGCCGCGUGCGGGAUGACGGCUUGCGGGUGGUGAACCGCUUUCGGCUAUGACGAAGCGUGAGUGACGGUAAUGGAUAAAUAAGCACCGGCUAACUACGUG
This 468-nucleotide ribosomal RNA is filed under the name uncultured bacterium. RNAcentral describes it as "partial 16S ribosomal RNA". It matches the Rfam family "Bacterial small subunit ribosomal RNA", at positions 28 to 507 of the family's 1533-position model. The record is from RNAcentral.